This 542-nucleotide long non-coding RNA is filed under the name Rattus norvegicus (Norway rat). RNAcentral describes it as "long non-coding RNA NONRATT027228". The record is from RNAcentral. Lineage: Eukaryota; Metazoa; Chordata; Mammalia; Rodentia; Muridae.
GAUAGUGCAGGUGAGCCCCUAUACAAGCUCUUCAAGGCCAUCAAACACCAGGUGGAAAAGGGGCCCGUGGAUGCUGUGCAGAAGAAGGCCAAGUACACCCUCAAUGACACAGGGCUGCUUGGGGAUGAUGUUGAAUAUGCACCUCUGGUAAGUCCCCCAGAGCUGGAAGCUGUGGAGGGGAAGGCGAAGCCAGGAACUUGGACUCCACAUCUGAACUCUGCACAGUGAAGCCAAGUUGUCCUGGGUAGGGUUUCUGUGAUCCAGAGGUAUGGUCACGAGGAUCCUCCCUCAGCUGGUCCUUCCCAUCCUGUGUUCCCUGGCAGACGGUGAGCGUGAUCGUUCAGGAUGAAGGGAUUGAUGCCAUUCCAGUUAAGGUCCUCAACUGCGACACCAUCUCUCAGGUCAAAGAGAAGAUCAUUGACCAGGUGUACCGUACUCAGCCCUGCUCCUGUUGGCCCAAGCCUGACAGUGUGGUGCUUGAAUGGCGUCCUGGGUCCACGGCCCAGAUUCUGUCUGACUUGGACCUUACCUCCCAGCGGGAA